This 381-nucleotide ribosomal RNA is filed under the name uncultured bacterium. RNAcentral describes it as "bacterial SSU rRNA". It matches the Rfam family "Bacterial small subunit ribosomal RNA", at positions 30 to 416 of the family's 1533-position model. The record is from RNAcentral.
AUUGAACGCUGGCGGAAUGCUUUACACAUGCAAGUCGAACGGCAGCACGGGGCAACCUGGUGGCGAGUGGCGAACGGUGAGUAAUACAUCGGAACGUGCCCAAUCGUGGGGGAUAACGUAGCGAAAGUUACGCUAAUACCGCAUACGAUCUACGGAUGAAAGCGGGGGAUCGCAAGACCUCGCGCGAGUGGAGCGGCCGAUGUCAGAUUAGGUAGUUGGUGGGGUAAAGGCUCACCAAGCCAACGAUCUGUAGCUGGUCUGAGAGGACGACCAGCCACACUGGAACUGAGACACGGUCCAGACUCCUACGGGAGGCAGCAGUGGGAAUUUGGACAAUGGGCGCAAGCCUGAUCCAGCCAUUCCGCGUGCAGGAUGAAGGCC